This 253-nucleotide ribosomal RNA is filed under the name uncultured bacterium. RNAcentral's name for it is "partial 16S ribosomal RNA". It matches the Rfam family "Bacterial small subunit ribosomal RNA", at positions 524 to 776 of the family's 1533-position model. The record is from RNAcentral.
UACGUAGGCAGCAAGCGUUGUUCGGAGUUACUGGGCGUAAAGGGCGCGUAGGCGGACUCGCCAGUCCGGGGUGAAAUCUUUCGGCUUAACCGGAAAAGUGCCUUGGAUACUGCGAGUCUUGAGGAAGGUAGGGGCAUGUGGAACUUCCGGUGGAGCGGUGAAAUGCGUUGAUAUCGGAAGGAACACCGGUGGCGAAAGCGACGUGCUGGCCCUUCUCUGACGCUGAGGCGCGAAAGCCAGGGGAGCAAACGGG